Molecule: ribosomal RNA, 433 nt
Filed under: uncultured bacterium
Lineage: Bacteria
Description: partial 16S ribosomal RNA
Rfam family: Bacterial small subunit ribosomal RNA
Source: RNAcentral
AACGAACGCUGGCGGCAGGCUUAACACAUGCAAGUCGAGCGGACCUUUCGGGUUCAUCGGCGGACGUCUGAGUAACGCCUUGUAACGUGCCUUCCGUUUCCUAAUUACCCUGGGAAACUAGAGCUAAUACCGGAUCCGUCCUUCUCUGUAAAUGUUUAUCGCCUGUAGAUUGGCGCGCGUCUGAUUCGCUAGUUGGUGGGGUUACGGCCUACCAAUGCGAAGAUCAGUAGCUGGUAUGAGAGGAGGAUCAGCCACACUGGGCCUGAGACACGGACCAGACUCGUAGAGGAGGCAGCAGUGGGAAAACUGGGACAACCAGUGCGCGCAUGAGAAGGCGAUGCUAUGGAAGUGAGACUGGCCUUAGGGUUGUAAAGAUCUUUUAUCCUGGACGAUCAUGACGGUACCGGAGGAAUAAGCACCGGCUAACUCCGUG